GGACGGACCUAACAGGACAGGCAAUCACCCGAGUGCCCAUGGUUCUAGACCUAGAAGACAAGGUCGUAGGCUGAGAGUGGGACGGGGAUUCGAGACUGAGUCAAGAAAAUCAAAGUCCAGAACAGCUGCAGAGCAAAAGGAAGCAGAGCUGGGCGGAUCACUGCUUCAUCUUUUCCGAUGUCUAAUUCCUUUAUCAUCAGAAAAAAACCCCGCAAUUUGAAGAUCACUAAGAAUGUAUUGUCACUUAUUUGGGAAAAAUGAGUAACCAAAUGAAGAGUUCAAAAGCCGGUGAUGGCAGGGGGACCCAAGUUUUUCCGUUUUGUUCGAACCAGCUACAGUAGAAGAAGAACAGAGGAAAGAGGACAGUGGGAGAGGGAGGAACACAUUGAACGAAACAAAGGUGACAUAACACGGUCACAAGUCCUUACAUAACACAGGCGAGGC
Long non-coding RNA from Artibeus jamaicensis (Jamaican fruit-eating bat), 444 nucleotides. RefSeq lists it as uncharacterized. NCBI's taxonomy places the organism in Eukaryota, Metazoa, Chordata, Mammalia, Chiroptera, Phyllostomidae. The transcript is spliced from 3 exons. The record is from RefSeq and is a predicted model, not a curated record.